RNAcentral lists this non-coding RNA (49 nucleotides) under Haematobacter massiliensis. Its description in RNAcentral is "Guanidine-II sequence". It matches the Rfam family "Guanidine-II riboswitch aptamer (mini-ykkC)". Rfam says of the family: Simpler in structure and has fewer highly conserved nucleotide positions than the ykkC-yxkD leader. The record is from Rfam by way of RNAcentral. Lineage: Bacteria; Pseudomonadati; Pseudomonadota; Alphaproteobacteria; Rhodobacterales; Paracoccaceae.
CCGCCGGGACGGCUCGGCAUUUCAUGCACAUCCGACGGGGACGACCCUG